GCCUGGCUGGCUCAGUGGGUAAAGUAUGUAGCUCUUGAUCUCAGAGUUGUGAGUUCAAGCCUCAUGUUGGGUG
Molecule: transfer RNA, 73 nt
Filed under: Canis lupus familiaris (dog)
Lineage: Eukaryota; Metazoa; Chordata; Mammalia; Carnivora; Canidae
Also listed under: 1 other name
Rfam family: tRNA
About the family: Transfer RNA (tRNA) molecules are approximately 80 nucleotides in length. Their secondary structure includes four short double-helical elements and three loops (D, anti-codon, and T loops). Further hydrogen bonds mediate the characteristic L-shaped molecular structure. tRNAs have two regions of fundamental functional importance: the anti-codon, which is responsible for specific mRNA codon recognition, and the 3' end, to which the tRNAs corresponding amino acid is attached (by aminoacyl-tRNA synthetases). tRNAs cope with the degeneracy of the genetic code in two manners: having more than one tRNA (with a specific anti-codon) for a particular amino acid; and 'wobble' base-pairing, i.e. permitting non-standard base-pairing at the 3rd anti-codon position.
Source: Rfam by way of RNAcentral